UGAUUCAUAUAUUGAUUUCUGACUUCAUCAUCAAUAUUUCCUGCAUGACUCACCAACCCACACUUAGGCCUUUGAUCGUCACAUUGGCGAUCGAUCUCCAUCUUCCCACGUAUCAAGUCGCUAAUCUACACAUUGGCUGUUGGCUCAUCAUCAAAAUGAUCUUUAGAUAUCGGGCAUCGAAUCAGGUUCCAGAUUCUGACUUUGAUCCAGACAUCUACUGCUGAUCCU
RNAcentral lists this long non-coding RNA (228 nucleotides) under Elaeis guineensis (African oil palm). Its description in RNAcentral is "long non-coding RNA (EGUI_LNC019196)". The record is from RNAcentral. Lineage: Eukaryota; Viridiplantae; Streptophyta; Magnoliopsida; Arecales; Arecaceae.